RNAcentral lists this ribosomal RNA (497 nucleotides) under uncultured bacterium. Its description in RNAcentral is "partial 16S ribosomal RNA". It matches the Rfam family "Bacterial small subunit ribosomal RNA", at positions 28 to 507 of the family's 1533-position model. The record is from RNAcentral.
GAUGAACGCUGGCGGCGUGCCUAAUACAUGCAAGUCGAGCGAACAGACGAGGAGCUUGCUCCUCUGACGUUAGCGGCGGACGGGUGAGUAACACGUGGAUAACCUACCUAUAAGACUGGGAUAACUUCGGGAAACCGGAGCUACUACCGGCUAAUAUAUUGAACCGCAUGGUUCAAUAGUGAAAGACGGUUUUGCUGUCACUUAUAGAUGGAUCCGCGCCGCAUUAGCUAGUUGGUAAGGUAACGGCUUACCAAGGCAACGAUGCGUAGCCGACCUGAGAGGGUGAUCGGCCACACUGGAACUGAGACACGGUCCAGACUCCUACGGGAGGCAGCAGUAGGGAAUCUUCCGCAAUGGGCGAAAGCCUGACGGAGCAACGCCGCGUGAGUGAUGAAGGUCUUCGGAUCGUAAAGCUCUGUUAUUGGGGAAGAACAAAUGUGUAAGUAACUAUGCACGUCUUGACGGUACCUAAUCAGAAAGCCACGGCUAACUACGUG